UACGUAGGGUCCAAGCGUUAAUCGGAAUUACUGGGCGUAAAGCGUGCGCAGGCGGUUCGUUAAGUCAGAUGUGAAAGCCCCGGGCUUAACCUGGGAAUGGCAUUUGGGACUGCAAGGCUGGAGUGUGGCAGAGGAGACUGGAAUUCCUGGUGUAGCGGUGAAAUGCGUAGAUAUCAAGAGGACCACCUGCGGCGAAGGCGGGUUGCUGGGCCGACACUGACGCUGAUAGUGCGAAAGCUAGGGGAGCGAACGGG
This 254-nucleotide ribosomal RNA is filed under the name uncultured bacterium. Its description in RNAcentral is "partial 16S ribosomal RNA". It matches the Rfam family "Bacterial small subunit ribosomal RNA", at positions 524 to 776 of the family's 1533-position model. The record is from RNAcentral.